This 4803-nucleotide long non-coding RNA is filed under the name Sus scrofa (pig). RNAcentral's name for it is "lncRNA (ENSSSCG00000057386.1)". Lineage: Eukaryota; Metazoa; Chordata; Mammalia; Artiodactyla; Suidae. The record is from RNAcentral.
GCUGGUCUCGGGGCUUCCUGGCCCAGGGCUGGAGGGCAAGUGGCGUUCAUUUCCAGAUCAGAGGCUGUCCUUGAAGUUAAGCAAGGCUUAAGCGAGAGCUGAGUUAAUGGGGGCUGAGGUCCGUGAACUGGACUUGCAAGAGAGCCACCCGUUGCAGGUAGCUUUUUGAAAAACAGCUCCCACGUUCAUUUGCAGCCUCUUUUAUCCUAUUCUCCCCGCAGAUUCCCUCUGCCUUCUCCCACCUGUCACCCUGGCAGGUGUCCACUAAGGUGCUGUCAGGUCCCUGCCCUGUCCCUUGGCAAUGGGAAAGCCCAUGGUACAGAUGCUCCUUUGAGGUGUCUGCUGCCCUCACCCACCACCUCCCCAGGUGUUUCUCCCCAGGACCCGCACCUGGCUGCCACUGUUGAGACCCAGGUUACACCUGUGCUUACUCUCAGCUGGCCAAUCAGCUGCUCCCUCCCAGGAAUUUGGAUGGAACUGAGAGCCGCUGGUCACUGUUUUCCUGAGGCUCGCAGGGAGGAGAGCACGGUGGGGUCUGGCUGGCCCGUGCACAGCACAGAGCAAUGCAGGCCAGUCUGGAGGAACCAAGAGGGAAGCAGACGCGUGCCCACCCGCCCCAUUCAUUCAACAGGUUGGUGGGGUUUUGUCCGCGCCCCACGCAUGCACAAGUUCCUGGGCCAGGGAUCGAACCCACAACCACAGCUACAGCCAGAGCCGCAGCUGUGACACUGCUGGAUCCUUAACCCACUGAGCCACGAGGAACUCCUCAACAGGUAUUUACUGAUCCCCUACUGUGGGCCUCGCACUGGGGAUAUAGCAGAGAAAAGAAAGACAAACAUCUCUGCCCUGAUGAGGGAUCUUACACAGAAGACGAUGGAAAUGAGAGAGAAAAAGAGACUGCCUCAUUUCUUCCUGCUGGUUCCUGAGACGCGUCUCUGCCCUUGGGCCCCAUGAAACAGCCCCGCAUCCUCCCAGGCAGCUGCCCCUUUUCACUAGGGGGUCAGACAAGGCUCCUGGGCACAGCAGUACGUUAGGACACGCCUAGAGGUGUGCCCAGGGCCAUGGCAGCAGGUGACAGGGAAGGUAAGUGAGGCCAGGAGUCACAGCCCCGCCCCCACCCCAGGUGAUGGCGGCUUGGGAACCCACUGGAGCCGCAUGAGAGUCAGAGGCAUCAGGAAAGGGAGCGCAUUAGUUGAUUACAGAACAUGCUUCCAUGAAAAAAAAAGUCCUUCUAAAUAUUUUUAUUAUAAAAUGUUGCUUUUAUAAAACUCAAACAUGAGUUUCCAUCAUGGCCCAGUGGGUUAGGGCCUGAUGUCUCUGUGAGGAUGUGGGUUCGAUUCCUUGGCCUCGCUCAGUGGGUUAAGGAUCUGGCAUUGGAUGAACAGAUGGGUGGGGAGAUAGAAGGUGUGAAUUCACCAAUGGGACUGUAUUGUGUACGCCGCCCCGUAAACGGCUUAAAAAAAAAUUGUGCUAAAGCAUUUAACAUGAGCUCUGCCUCAUAAAUGUUUCAGCAUGCAUACAGUAUUAACUCUAGGUCCAUUGCUGAACAGCAGGUCUCUAGAAUUUAUUCAUUUCCAAUAACUAAAACUCCAUAGCUGGCAUGGGGGAGGGGGCAGCAAGCCCCCCCCCCCCGCCCCCAGCCCCUGGCAACCACCAUCCUGCUCCAAGCUUCUGAGUUUGAAUCGUCCAGAUCCCGCAUGUAAGUGAAAUCAGGCAACAUCUGUCCUCUGCGGCUGGUUUAUUUCUCUUAGUCUGAUGUUCUCAAAGUUCACCCACGUUGCCACACAAGGCACCUGUCUUUAGCAAAACAAUUUCCUGAUUUACUUAUUUUUUCACAAAUAAUCCAGGGGCAUCAAAUUAGCUUCUGACUUUCCAAUCGGGUCAUUCCUUCCCCGGGACCAGAGGGCUGAGCUCAAGGUUCACAGCUGGCACUUCUGCAUGACACCACAGACAGGAUUUUAGCGACGCUCGGGUCGUGAGGUCUAGUUUUUCCCAAGUUCAUUUUCCUUUGCAAAUCUUUUCCACCUGAUCCCGGUGGAGGCCAGAAUGAUGACAGGUGAGUUACAGGUAAACAGCCAGUGGAGCACCAACUGGGCCAUUCGCAGAAACAGCCGGCCCCUCGCUGCUCUCCAGGCGGAGAGGAAGAAGCAGCGUGGACCUGUUCCCUGGCCCAGGUAGGAGGUGCUGGUGCGGCGAACCUGCCGGUCGAUCCGUGGGGGGUUGGCGGUAGGAUCCCGUUCGUGAUGGUGGCUCCGUGCUCUCUACAAAGCCGCGAGGUCUUGGAGAUGGUCCCAAGAUGAGACCCGCCGUGCCUGUCGCGCCCCCGACAUCUAGCCCUUGGCCACUGCUAAGCUACCCUCGGUCUCUGGAUUUGCUCCUCUGGCCGUUUCAUAUAAUCAGAAUCAUACGACAUGCGGCCUUGCGUGUCUGCCUUUUUCACUUAGUAUAAGGCUUUCAGGUCCAUCCUCCUUGUCAUGCGCGUCAGUACUUCAUUCCUUUUACCAAGGAGUUCAAGGAGGUCCCACCGUGGCACAACAGGAUCGGCAGUGUCUCUGGAGCGCUGGGAUGUAGGUUCAAUCCCCGGCCGGGCACAGUGGGUUAAGGAUCCGGUGUUGCUGCAGCAGCACAGGUCGAAACCAGCCAUGGCUCGGAUCUGAUCCCUGACCCGGGAACUCCGUAUGCCAUGGGGUGGCCACAAAAGGGCGGGGGAGGAAUAAUAGUACCUUGUACGGGUGUCCCGUGCUAGUUGAUCCCUUCGUCACCUGAUGGGCCCUUCUGAGUUGGUUCUCCUCUUGGGCUGUUGUGGAAAACACUGCUAUGAACUUUGCGAACCAGGUCUUGUGUGGACACAGGUUUUAAUUUCUUUGGGGCUGUGUCUAUAUACCCAGGAUCGGAAUUGCUGGGUCGUUUGGUUACUCCGUGUUUCACCUUUUGAAGAACACUGGACCAGUCCCUAGUUCUGCCCCAUGUUACAGCUCCAUCGGCGGUACAGCAAGGCUCCAGGUCCUCUAUAUUCUUGCCAACACCUGCUAGAAUCUGCCUUUAUCCCCAUCCCAGGGGCUCCAAGGUAGUAGCUCCUUGUGGUUUGAUUUGCAUUUCCCUGGUGACAAAUCAAAUGGAGCAUCUUUUCAUGUGUUUAUUGGUCAUUUGCAUAUCUUCUUUUGAGAAAUGUCACUUCAGGUCUUUUGCCCAUUUAAAAAUUGGGUUUUGAUCUUUUUAUUACUGAGCUAUGAGUCCUCAUGUGUUCCAGAUACAAGUCCCUUCUCAGGGAUGUGAUUUGCAAAUGUGGCCUUCCAUUCUGUGGGUUGUCUUACCAUUUUCUUGAGGUAGUGUUUGUAGUACAAAAGGUUUUUUUAGCUGGAUCCAAGUGUGGUGGAUUUACAGCCAGGUGGUUCAGUUACGCACACACACAUACCCAUUCCCGUAGAGGUUACCCCAGACUGUGGAGCAGAGGUCCCUGGGCUGUACAGCAGGUGCCUGUUGACCAUCCGUUCCAUGAACCAUAGUGCGCAUGUGCCAGUCCCAAACCCCAGUCCCUCCCUCCCCCCACCUUUCCCCUUUGGUAGUCAUAGCUUUGUUUUUGGAGUCUACGAGUCUGUUUCUGUUUUGUAAAUAAAUUUGUAUCAUUUUGUUUUAGAGUCCACAUGUAAGUGAUAUCAUGUAUUUGUCUUUGGCCAAAGUUUUAAACUUUGGUGAUGUCCAAUUUAUCUGUUUGUUUUUUUCCUUUGUCACUUGUGGGUUUGGUGUCACACCUAAGAAGACUUUGCUUAACCCAAAGUAUAAACAUUUACUCCUAUGUUGUCUCCUGAGAGUCUCAUAGUCUCAGCUCUUACAUUUAGGGGUAGAGGCCAUUGUGGGCUUAUUUUUCCGUAUGGUUUGAGGAUGGAGUUCCUUCUUAUACAUGCAGACCUUUCAGCCACUUUCAAGAAUGUGAUUUUGGGAGUUCCUCUUGUGGCUCAGCAGGUUAAGAAUCCGACUGGUAUCCAUGAGGAUGCAGGUUUGAUCCCUGGCCUCGCUCAGUGGGUUAAGGAUCGGCUGUUGCCGUGAGCUGCAGCGUAGGUCAUAGGUUGCAGAUGCGGCUCAGAACCCCUGUUGCUGUGGCUGUGGUGUAGGCUGACGGCUGUAGCUCCAAUUCAACCCCUAGCCUGGGAACCUCCAUAUGCUGCAGGUGUAGCCCUUAAAAAACAAAACAAAACAAAACAAAACAAAAACAGAAACAGACAUGGGCAGAUAUUUAAUGGAAAAAAAACAAAAUGAGAGAAACAGAAUCAGAGAUUUAGGAACCAAACUUAUGGUCCCCAAAGGGGAAGCAGUUGAGGAAGGGAUAAAUUAAGAGUUUGGGAUUAACAUAUAUAAUCUACCAUAUAUAAAAUAGAUAAAUAACAAGGACCUUCUGUGCAGCACACAGAAAUCUACUCAAUAUUCUGUCAUAACCUAUGUGAAAAGAAUUUGAAAAGGAAUGGGCAUAUGUGUAACUGAUUCACUUCGCCACACACCUCAAACUCACACAACAUCGUGAGUCAGCUAUACUCCAAUAACAUUUAUUCAUUUAUUUAUUUUUAGGGCGGUACCUGCAGCAUAUAAAAGUUCCCAGGCUAAGGGUGGAAUCAGAGCUGCAGCUGCCAGCCUCUGCCAUAGCAAUGCCCGAUCUGAGCCAUAUCUGUGGCCUACACUGCAGCUUGCAGCAAUACCGAUUCUUAACCCAGGAUACACCUCUGAUUUGACCCCUCGCCUGGGGACUUCCAUAUGCCACGGGUUUCGACCUAAAAAGACAAAAAAAAAAAAAAAAAGAGAGAGAGAGAG